This 1121-nucleotide long non-coding RNA is filed under the name Setaria italica (foxtail millet). RNAcentral describes it as "long non-coding RNA (SITA_LNC000979)". The record is from RNAcentral. Lineage: Eukaryota; Viridiplantae; Streptophyta; Magnoliopsida; Poales; Poaceae.
UUUUCUCUCGCAGGCCAAUUUUCUUAGACUGAAACAUUACAAAUUUGCAUACUGCAUGUUUAUUGUGAGAUAAUAAAAAAAUCGCAUACUGCAUGUUUAUUGUGAGAUAAUAAAAAAAUCGCAGAAUAUACAUUAAGUAUCGGAUGCAUAUGAAAAUCAUAGCACAUGAUCUAUACUUUUGUAGUCGACAACAUUUUUAUUUGAUGCCGUUUAGUGCCCAAAUAAUGGUUUCACACAAAAAGGGUCGAAGAAAAAAAAUCCCAUUACUAUGAAGCAUUAGUGUCAAGAGAGAUAGAAUGAGAAAUUCCCUAGAAUCUAGAGGUACCAGAGAUUCGACUCCCACAAACUACACUCAUUUGAAAAACGGCCUUACUUGUGACAGAUUGCCCGGGGGCAAUAAAUUUUUCCCAUUUUCUGGCUCACUGCUGGUCUGCCUGGUCAGUUGUGUGAUAAACCUAUCACUGUGACAACUCCCAGAUUUAAAAAUUCCAAUAAAGAGGAAAAAAGUAUAGCCACCCGAGCUGAGACAAUGCACCUGAGCAUGCCUGUACAGUAUGCAUGUAGCUCGAACAAGAAUGAAUGCAUAUGCCACCAGUCAAGGAAACCAAGCUCAGCAUCUGCUGCCAUGGAAUGAAGCCAGGUCCAUCCCUACUUCAUAGGCCAUGCAGCUUCUCAGAAUCAGACAUCUGCUAAAGCUUCUGCUCUCCACGACGGCACCCUGAAAAUUUCAGAGGCAUUGAAAUCCUCCAAAAUCCUACAACACGGUGGGGUUGUGUGCACCCCCUCGCUCACGUUUCCUUGUUCGGCACCACCGCAUAGAACAGUUGAGGGGUGCAUCAUGGAGAAAAGAUCUACACUAACCAAUCCUUUUGACCUGAAAAUGAACGUGCGGCACCAUCAGUAAUGCAAUUGCACUAACCAAUCGCGUGCGAUCAAUUAAAAAUUACUCAUAUGAAAACGAGGUAUGCUUGCCUGUAUGUAUGUGUGUAUCAAACUCUAAUUUCAUGAGCACAAACCCUUCAGCAGACAUGCUGCUCGUCAGAAUUAGAUUCCUCCUCCUGCUGUUCUCCACCACGGCAGCCAACCAUGCAACCAGAGAAACAUCUUUGACAGGCCACAGG